This 397-nucleotide ribosomal RNA is filed under the name uncultured bacterium. Its description in RNAcentral is "partial 16S ribosomal RNA". It matches the Rfam family "Bacterial small subunit ribosomal RNA", at positions 523 to 918 of the family's 1533-position model. The record is from RNAcentral.
AUACGAAGGGUGCAAGCGUUACUCGGAAUUACUGGGCGUAAAGCGUGCGUAGGUGGUUGUUUAAGUCUGUCGUGAAAGCCCUGGGCUCAACCUGGGAAUGGCGAUGGAAACUGGGCGACUAGAGUGUGGCAGAGGGUAGUGGAAUUCCUGGUGUAGCAGUGAAAUGCGUAGAGAUCAGGAGGAACAUCCGUGGAGAAGGCGACUGCCUGGGCCAACACUGACACUGAGGCACGAAAGCGGGGGGAGCAAACAGGAAUAGAUACCCUGGUAGUCCACGCCCUAAACGAUGCGAACUGGAUGUUGGGUGCAAUUUGGCACGCAGUAUCGAAGCUAACGCGUUAAGUUCGCCGCCUGGGGAGUACGGUCGCAAGACUGAAACUCAAAUGAAUUGGCGGGG